Molecule: long non-coding RNA, 9388 nt
Filed under: Fragaria vesca (wild strawberry)
Lineage: Eukaryota; Viridiplantae; Streptophyta; Magnoliopsida; Rosales; Rosaceae
Description: long non-coding RNA (FVES_LNC005497)
Source: RNAcentral
UUUAGAACUUGGAUAAUAAAACCUUAUUUUAAAUUUUGAGAAUUUCGAGGACGAAAUUUUUUUAAAAUGUGAGUUUGUAACUCCGUUACAUUAUAUGUGUGAGACGUCAUGAGAGAUUUUAUUGAGUUAAUUGUUAAUAUUUUGAUGAAUUACUUAUCGGUCGAUAUUCGUGACUAUUGACCGACUCUUAGUUACCUUUAUUGUGACCUUAAAAUUAUCCUGUAAGUUAAAGUGAGGUUUGUCGGAAGAUAUUUGUCAAGAUCUUUGAAAUCCGAGAUAAACCCUGCAGGACCCACCUCAAGGGAAAUUCUAUCAAUAUUUUGGCAUAACCUCCCUUGAAAAUGGGUAACCCUACUUGAAAAAUAAUCAACUCCUAACAAACACUUCUAAUACCAAAACAAUUAUCAUCUGCUGGAGCCACCCAUUCCCUCAAAUAAACAACCACCACAUCACACAAUAAUAUCAUCAAGCAAUUUCAUAACUUAACCUCUCGUAACAUCAACACCAAAUAAAUCUUUCAAAUCACUUCUAAGUUGAGUCAUAAACUUUUAAUACACAUUACCAUAAAUUAAUACAUCCUAUGGUUAUUAGAGCAACUAAUUGAAGGAAAAAAAUAUACAAGUAGGUUAAACCGGUAACCUACGAGUGAAAAAUGGAUGAGGUGGAAGAUAUGACUCGCCUCCUACACUUGCCGAACCAAACUCUGCAAACUGGGCAUUUAAAAACGAAAAGCCCAGGGGAGAAGCAUUUUUUUUUUUGAUUGAAAGGGGAGAAGCAUUUAAAAUGUUAGCGUGAGUGGACAAAAAUAAAUAACAAUAAUAUUAACUUAAAUACGGAGCAAUGAAACCAAAAUUUAUGCUUUCCCAAAUUUUCCGUUGAGAAACAUUUAUGCAUGUCACUCUUGCAAUUUUCCAAAAAUAUUUAUGGAUAGAAGUGAUGAACCAAUCCCAUUGGUUCCAAUAAAUCAUAAAAAUGGGGAAUAGGUUUCACCAUCACGAUGAGCCUCCCAGGCUAGGGUCGGAGCCUCCCAGGCUCUAAUAGCGUCCCAUGCUAAGUGCUUUACUCACUUAUGGUGAGAACCGCUAAUAAAGGCUAGCUAACAAUAAAUAUAAACUGAUCGGUGCCUCCCAUGCUAUAAUAGCGUCCUACGCUAAGCGCUCUACUCACCUAUGGUGAAGACAGCUAAUAAUGGCUAGCUAGCAAUAAUAAAUAUAUAUAAACCCUUUUAUAGUGAAGAAAGAUAAUAAAUAAUAAAAAUGAUAAGAACAACACUUCCCCAAAAUAUAUUAAAUCAUUAGUGCAUAGUACAGUUCUCAGCUGUACUUAGAAAUAUUACGUAAUAAUUGCGGAUUCUUUAAUAAUAUAAUUCACUUGACAUGUCCCACAUGUCAAAUAAAAUUAGCAAGAGUUACAAAAAACAAAUGGAACUCAUUAAUCCAAAGAAAAUAAUUGACACGACCCACCCCGAAUUUCAUCCUGAAACCUGGAGUAAGUCGUGCGGGGACCACCUCCAAGGAAAAUUUACCGUAAAGAUUUAUAAAACCUCCCUUGAAAAUGAACAACCCUAACUCGAAAAUUUCAAAUUUACUCUCUCAUUACAACACCUCCAAACAUCAUAAUAUUAUCCAGCUAAAAACAGCAAACAUUAUCCUUCAGAAAUUCUAAACAUAAAGUCAACCGACUGAGCACACCACCGAAAUAAUAUACAAAAAUCCCAAAGUAUUCAAAGUUACUAGACACUAGCGGAAGCAAGAAAACACUAGUAGGUUAAACAGGUAACCUACUGAUGAAAACUGGCGGAAAUGCGGGUGACUAUGCCUCGCCUCCUACUAGAUCCAACCCGAACUCUGCAGACUAGGCAUUUUAAAACGAAGGGCCCAGGGAAAGACAUUUGAAACCGUUAGAGUGAGUGGACAAAAAUAAAUUAAUAAACAUAUUUAUGCUUUCCCAUUUUAAUUUCCAAAGAAAAAUAUACUGCAUGCGGCAGCUCAAAGGCAUUCAACUCAUAAACUGGUAAUUUCACGACUAGCUCCGGUUAGUCACCAACUCAAAUAAAAUGGAGCCUCUCAGGCUAAAUUAUAUAUAAUCAUAAAUAUAUAUAUAUAUGUAUGUAUUUAUACUCGUCAUACUCCUUGUACGAAUUCUAUGAAGGAAUAAGCAAAAUAGAAAUUCAUACAAGGCUACUACGCUUGCGUCUAACGCUCACGUCUAACGCUCACGUCACACCAUAAUAGAAUUGUACCUCAGUAUGGCUGAAAAGCACGAGUGUAUAUACGUGUGGACUCCCUAUAUGAAAACCUAUAUGAACCAGAAAAAAAAUAGUUUUCAUAUAGGGCUACUAAGCUUGUGUCUAACACUCAUGUCACACCAUAAUGGUAUUUUACCUCAUUAUGGCGGAUCAAGCACGUAUGGCUAGCUAGCAUUUAUAUACAUACUAUACUCACAAUAUCCAUUAAACAUAUCCACUGAAAAUCUCAUUUUCAGGAUCUCUCCAAAGGAGGAAAAUUGCCAAAUAUCCGAGAAAGAAAUAAAUCUCAGGAAAAGAAAUAAAUGAUGAACAAAUAAUUCAUCGCAUGCUUUUCAAUUAAAACAAAAAUCCACUCACAAAUUAGGCCUAAGCCUGAUGACGCUCCGAGGCUUCCUCUGCUCGGGCCUCCUCUUGUCCUGUUCCAAUUACAAUAUUAAUUUCCUAGUCGAAAUUUCCAAUAAUUAAACAAAAUGGGCAAAAUUAAACAUGAGCCUCCCACACACUCAUCAUUGCCCAAAUUCGCCAUUCUUAACUCAAUACGGCUCAACUUCACCGAACAUAUCGGCAGCCGUAAAUACAACUUCCCACAGAAAACGACUUAAACCCCACGGCCGGAUUCUACAUUAAUUAACCGCCAAAAAUACCAAACUUCGGAAAUUCACAAACCUAUCCAAAACUCAUCCAAAAAUUCCAUAACUCACUCCAAUAAACUCCCCUUAAUAUUCCAAAUUUAAAAACAUUAAAAUCUCCCAAACAGCUUCGACGCCGGCAGCGGCGGUCGGAGGCCGAUUCCGGCGACCUCCAAUUCCUAUGAAAUUUUGACAGAAUAAUCCUCUCAUCAUGCUCUACAACUUUCCUAACUACCACAAACCCAAAAUCCAAGCCUAGCUACGCCAAUCGAGCAAAAACAUCCAAAUCGCCCUAGAACUUCCACCUCAAAUUUCUUCUUACCUGAAGCGAACCGGAGUGAGUCCUUUUAGAGCAAGGCAGCUGGGUUGGAGACCUACAAAACCAUACCAAGCUUGCCCGGAUUGGUGGUCGGAGGAGGGAGUUCCGGCGAUGGAAGACUUUGGGCAGCCCGAGGUUCUAGGCGGGAGAACUCCUUCACGGCGACGCUAGGGUGGCUGUCACCGGUCCAGGGAUGUAGCUGGGUCGGAGAGCAACCGAACGGGACCGGAGCGGCGGUGAACGGCGGCCAGACGGCGGCGGAAAGACAGCCAGAAAACCGGGCAGCGGGAGACUCGGGGAAGAGGGAAACCGGGAAGAAAAAAGAGAGGAGAGAAAAUGGAUUUGGGCCUCACACCCCAAACCGGUCCAAGCUUAUAUCAACCCAACUCAAAAAUAAAACACCCCGAAAAAAAUAAUACCCGAAUAAAAAUUACCUUUUACUAGCUAAAAUUUACCAUUUUUACCGCCGUCAUAAUUUUCUCCUACGAAUAAUCCUCCGCAUAUAAUCGUCCCCGAAACCCCUCUAGGGACCAAUUAAACUAUUACCUCAAUGACGGAGACGGUAAAAUUCUUAUUAUAACAAAGCUAGUAAAUAAGGUAAAAUAUAAGGGUCGGGAUGUGACAAUAAUAAAACUCUAAUAUGCCUUUGAAAUUAAGGAAACUUUAGCGCAUGCAUGAUAUUAAAAUUAAAAGUCCACUCACAGUGCUCGGCUAUGCUUGCCGACGAUCCGAGGCCUCCUCCACACGAUUCUCCUCACGUCCUGAACAAUAAAUAAUAUUAAAUCUCAAGACCAGAUUAAUACUUUAAUAAAAAUUCUAAAAUAAAAGGGAGCCUAAAAAUUCUUCUCCCUUGCCCAACUUCUCCACUUUUAAUCUAUUAAGGCCCGAACUUCACCACAAUCAUCAAUAGCCUUAAAACAACUUUUUAAAGUUUAAUUCAUACUAAUGCAACGGCCAAAUUUUUAUUCUAACAACCGUCAAAAUCCUCAAUCUUUGAAAAAUCCCAAACCUAACCAAAACUCCUCCAAAAAUUCCAAACUUCACAUCAUUAGAAUCCUUUCAUUAAAACAAACUCAAAAACAUGCAAAACUUCCCCUAAGAGGCGGCGCCGCCGUCUGCUCUGCGGGCAGUGGCGACCGGUAGCCUAACUCCGGCGACCUCUAAUGCUCACCAAAAUUUGACACAAUCUUUCUCUCAACACGUACAACAACUUUCUUAACUAGCACAAAGUCCAAUUCCAAGUCUAACUGGGUAAUUGAACCAAAACAACCAAAAAUCUCAAUUCUAAAACCCUAGAAUUUCCAUCCGAAAAUCCUCCUUACUUGAAAUGAAAUGGAUUGAUUCCUUCUGGAGUAUUGUUACACCAAGAAAGACCUUCAAGAUGAGCCAAAUGUCUCCAGCUAUAAUGGCUGGAGGAGGGAGAUUCCGGCAAAAACUCCUUUGCUACACAGUCACGCUUCCAGUCGAUUUUUCUCCCUCACGGCGGCAAGGCACGGCCAACCACCUGCCCAAAACGAUAGCAGAGACAAUGCCGAGUCUAAGGGGACCAGAGCGGUGGUUUGAGAUGGCCGGUCGGCGGCGAUCGGAGGUGGAGAGUCCAACGGGGUCGGGAGAGCACACGGGAGAGAGAGAGAGAGAGAGAGAGAGAGAGAGAGAGAGAGAGAGAGAGAGAGAGAGAGAGAGAGAGAGAGAGAGACGNNNNNNNNNNNNNNNNNNNNAGAGAGAGAGAGAGAAAUGGGCCUUUUUCCCACCCAGUCCAACAGCUUAGGCUAUCUCCAACAAGAGAGUCUAAAGGGCCAAUUCUUAUAUUUUAGCCCUAAUAUGGUCUCCAACAAUAAAUUAUAAGAAAAUUAUAAGAGGGCCAAAGGGCCAUGAAAAGUGUAAUACCCCGAAAAUUUGAUAUUAGUUUCUAAUAUUAUUUGGGAGUUUUCGAGUUAGAAGUUGGUGUGUUUUGGAGGUUCGAAGAAAGAGCGGAAGUGUUCGGACGCGUUUUUACCCGAAAACGGUUUUAUGGUUUCGAAGGGUCAAGAGUUGACUUUUUAAUUUGUUGGGUUUCUCGAGAAACUUCCUUCACGGAAGUUGUAGAGCACGACGAUACGAGUUCGUAGACACGUGGCACGCGUAAAACGGACUUCGUAUGUGGAAGUUAUGGUCAACAGAAGUUCGUGGCUUUAUGGGUUGCUUGGGUUAAAUAAGAGAAGUUAGAGGGUUCUACUUCAUUUUUUCCGGAACCCAUUCUCCUCUCUCUUUUCUUCUCUCUCGCGACACCUUCACAGUCCGAGUUUCCCAGCCGACCCGACCCGGACCCGGUUGACCUGACCCGGAUUUUCCGGCCACCUCCGAAUGACCCAGACGACGGCACCAGUCGGGUUCUCUUCCUCUCCUCCAUCCGAGCUGCCCUGUGGUGGUGACUUGCGCCGUUUCAACCCCGAAUCGGUGACCCGAAGCUCGGAAGCUCGGGUUAGAGACCCGGUCGAGUUUCAGACCUCCGGCGGCGGCGACAAGGUGGGAGACUGUUCGGGAUAGGAGCCCCGUGGCGUCCUGGUCCGACUUCUGGUGGCCCUGGAGCGUGACUCUCGGUGUAGAGUGGUGGUGGUGGAAUUCGACAUUCCCGGCGAGUUUCCGGCGACUUCCCGGCCGUUUUGGUUUCGACCUCAGGUAUGGAAGUUGCUCUCCUUGCUCUGAGCUAUACUUUUGGUGUUGGAAGUUUGUCUGUUUUCAAAGGUUAGUGGGGUGGCGCGUGGGCCCCAUGCGCAGUCGCUAGGGGCAGCGCGUAGCGGCGCGUCCGUAGGUGGUUGUGGUGUUUGUGUUGUGGGUUAGGUAGUACUCGUUGAUACGAUCAUGUUGAUAUAUGGUUUGUAGGUUUUGGUUACCGAUGAUGCAUGCUAGGGUUUCCCUCUUGAAUGCUAGGUUUCGUUCGGUUUCCAUUUUUAAGUAUAGGUUUGUGGUUUUAUAAGUUGUGUAGGAUGUUCAGGCGACCUUUUCGAGGUAUAGGGAGAGGUUUUGUCUCGAGUGACAAGUUUGUGGGUUAGGACUUGAGUUUUGGUUCGAGUCGGUUUAUGUUGUUUUCAUAGUUGCUAAGGUUAACGUUUUUGUUAAUAGGAGACUUGUGGUGUGAUUUUGUGCUAUAUGCUUGUGUCGUGCGUGCGAAGACGCAGCUGGAUUUGAGGUGAGUAACAUCUCACCAGGGUCCACUUUCGGACCAUUUAUUUUAUAAUUAUUAUGAUGUGAUUGUGAUGUGUUUUUUUGAAGAUGAUUAUGAUGAUGAUUGUGAUGUUAAUGAUUAUGAUGAUUAUUGUUAUGAUGAUGAUGAGGUUAAUGAUAAUGAUGGAAAUGUUGAUGAUAUGAUGAUUACGAUGCAAUCAUUAUAUUGUGAGUAAAAUCUCACUAAGGUCCACUUUGUGGCCUAUUGAUUUUGAUAUGAUGUUGAUGAUAAUUAUUAUGAUAAUUAUUAGGAUGAUGAAUAUGAUGGUGGUCUUGAUGAUGAUGAUUUUGAUGAUGAUUUUGUUGAUGAUGAUGAUAAUUAUUGCUAAUUGUGAAGUUGUCCUUGAAAGAAAAUGAUUUGUUUUUAAAUAUAAAUGAGUUUGAUCGUCAACGGCUCAUGGUAAGUGAAAACAAGUUUUCUGUUAAUAAAAUAAUCUUUCAAAAGGACUUCCGAUCAUGAGUAAUAAUUAGAGUUGGUAGAAUUAUUCUUGUUUUAAAUAUUUAUAUCCACGUGUUUAUGGUGCUUUAGUGGUGAAUGUUGCAUUAGUUGUGAAUAUGUGUGCCUUAGUGGUGAGUGAGUGCAUUCGUUGUGGAUUUGUUGCCUUACUGGUGAAUGUUUGCAUUAGUUGUGGUUAUGUGCCUGUGUGGUGGUUUUGAGUAUUAGAAUAGGAGCCUUCGUGGUGGACCGGGAACCAAGCCUUGGCCGGGUGAUUGGUUACGGUCAGUUUUAGAGCUCUAGUCUGUCGGUACUUCAUGGGGGAUGACUAUGUGUUGACGAACCUAUGAGUACGUGUUUGUCUAGUUACUUAUGAGGGAUGACUAUGCGUUGACGAACUCAUAAGUAAGGGUUGAGAAAUGAUUGUGUGGUGUUAUUAUUUAAAUUUCUUGUUUUAAGAAUCUCCUGAACUAUGCUUAAUGCAAGAGAUUCUUUAGUUUUAUUUGUGUGAUUUUUUAGUAGAAUCCUGAACUACGCUUUUUGCAGGAUUUCAUUAUGAUUUGUUUGGUUUUGUAAUUGUUGUCGUUUUNNNNNNNNNNNNNNNNNNNNUUUUGUCUCGAAUGACAAGUUUGUGGGUUAGGACUUGAGUUUUGGUUCGAGUCGGUUUAUGUUGUUUUUGUUUGUGACUAAGUGGAGAUUCUAUUCUAGGUGGUUGACGAUACGUGUUCGCAUCUUGCCUUUUUGCUAAGAGAAGACGCAGCAGGAGUUUUUGUUUAAGGUGAGUAAAAUCUCACUAAGGUCCACUUUGUGGCCUAUUGAUUUUGAUAUGAUGUUGAUGAUAAUUAUUAUGAUAAUUAUUAGGAUGAUGAAUAUGAUGGUGGUCUUGAUGAUGAUGAUUUUGAUGAUGAUGAUAAUUAUUGCUAAUUGUGAAGUUGUCCUUGAAAGAAAAUGAUUUGUUUUUAAAUAUAAAUGAGCUUGAUCGUCAAUGGCUCAUGGUAAGUGAAAACAAGUUUUCUGUUAAUAAAAUAAUCUUUCAAAAGGACUUCCGAUCAUGAGUAAUAAUUAGAGUUGGUAGAAUUAUUCUUGUUUUAAAUAUUUAUAUCCACGUGAAUAUGUGUGCCUUAGUGGUGAGUGAGUGCAUUCGUUGUGGAUUUGUUGCCUUAGUGGUGAAUGUUUGCAUUAGUUGUGGUUGUGUGCCUGUGUGGUGGUUUUGAGUAUUAGAAUAGGAGCCUUCGUGGUGGACCGGGAACCAAGCCUUGGCCGGGUGAUUGGUUACGGUCAGUUUUAGAGCUCUAGUUUGUCGGUACUUCAUGAGGGAUGACUAUGUGUUGACGAACCUAUGAGUACGUGUUUGUCUAGUUACUUAUGAGGGAUGACUAUGCGUUGACGAACUCAUAAGUAAGGGUUGAGAAAUGAUUGUGUGGUGUUAUUAUUUAAAUUUCUUGUUUUAAGAAUCUCCUGAACUAUGCUUAAUGCAAGAGAUUCUUUAGUUUUAUUUGUGUGAUUUUUUAGUAGAAUCCUGAACUACGCUUUUUGCAGGAUUUCAUUAUGAUUUGUUUGGUUUUGAAUUGUUGCGUUUUCUUAAUUUCUUCUUUUCAUUUCUUUUGAUGGUAAGUGUUUUCCUGAAUUCAUUUUAAUGCAUGAACUCCCAGUUUUAUUCAUGUGUUGUUGGAUUGAGUCAUUUUUGUAGAUUUACUCAUACGAGCUUUUAAAUCUUACCGGGUUUGUUGUUUACAACCCGGUGCACCAAUCCAUGGUGUAGAGGUUGUUUUUGCAGGUCAGGUUUAGCAGAGUUGAGGCUGCGGCAGCUUCAUUUUGUUUACUUUCUAGUUUGCAGUGAGUUUGAGGGAGGUUUUAUUUGGUUCAAAUUAUUUUUCCACAAGUUGUAAAAAUAAAUUGUUGUAUUGUUUUUUAUGCUUUUUGGUUAUCAUGCCUUGAAUUUGGAAUUUUUUUUAUUUACCCAAAAUUCGGGGUGUGACAAAAAGGGCCAAACUUAGCCCUUUGGCUAGCCUAGUCCAGACCAAAGAGUGGUCUCUCAUCAGAAUAAAAAAUUAGAAUGAUACAUGUGGGUUGGCUGAAAUUGACUCUAAGUAUGACAAAUGGCGUAUGACAAAUGGCAGCAUUUAAUUGGUUAUACCCAUGCAUCAUAUUUCCCAACGGAAAAAUUUUCCAAUGCAAUUAUGGGGUUGUUUAAUAACGGCGACUAGUUGUUCAUUAAAUCAAAUAAACAAUAUUUUUUCUCUUAAAUAUUUUUCUUGGUCUAAAUCUAAAUAAUGUUAUAAUAAAAUAAAAUUAUAAGUUUGAAAAUAUAAUGUGAAAUCAUAAAAUAUUUGAUUGGGCAAAAAUUUAGCCCUCUCUUACUGGAGAUCGUUUAGUAGUCUAUAAAUAAAAAAUAAUAUUUUUGAGGGCUAAAUUAUAGCCAUGGCCCUAAUAUAGCCAUCUCCUACUGGAGAUGACUUUAAUACCCCAAAACAAAGCCUAAUAAAAAUUUACCCUUUUUACUUGAUAACUUUUACAUGCUAAUUUCGAUUUUAACGUAUAGCAUGUCCACG